CACAUCCAUGUCACUACCUCUCCCUUUACAAAUGCCACACUAUCAUCUCGUGUUUGUUGGAGGUGAAUAUGUGGAAGGAAAUAAAUUACUGGCAUUGUACAAGUGGCAGUCUUGCUGGUCCUGACAAACUUGCAUCCAGUGUUCUUUCUGUUCCUGUACGAGCAUUUGUGGGACCCACCUGGCACAACCUUCCAACUGAGUGUAUUCUAUGAUUUUAUAUUUGAAAAGACCAUUCAAGAACCUCGUGGACCAUCUUCUUUUUUCAUUCAUGUUCUCACUGGAUUGAUCUAGAUACAGGAGCUGUUGUGGAGAGGGUGACACAAAAGUGAGAGUGCACUACCUGCAGGCAGUUAGCAGAGAGCUGUGAAAAAAAGGGAAAGAGUGUGGGGAUAUGAAAAGGAAAAUUCUCCAGUCCAUCUAAGAAAAGAAAACUCAGUGAGGAAAAAAAAAAAAAAAAAAAGAAGGAAAAGCAUAAUGGAAGUGAAGUAAACCUUUGAAUAAAUCCAGAAAUGUCAUCUGGACCACCAAGGUGAAAGAAGAGAUCCUGGAUUAACACUUUUCAGCGUCAGCCUGGAAAGAUUCUUUUCAGGCAAUUACUGUUGCCAGAAAGUAAUUCAAUAUUCUGUAAUUUAAACUGAAACUGAACUACAUUUAUUGCUUGGUAUUGCACAACUCUGAAGAUGCAAGGAAUAGAAGUUAAUUUUGAAGACUCAUCAAAAGGGCUGCAUCCAUCACCAAAAUCUAUUUCUGAAUCAAAGCCUCCACCAUGGAAAGCUCCAACACCUGCUGGAAAAUGUGCCCUGUGGUACAUAAUAACUAUACGAGAAUCUCAGUCCUGGUCUGAACUGAAAUGGGGACCCCUUCUCUACAUCUUGCUGCACCAAUGUCUCUACAAACUGCUCCACGUGUGAGCUGUGCUCUAGGCCUAGCUCUUAUAUAGGCCUAUUGCUAGCAACACAUAAUAUGGUGCUUGACCAUCCAUAUUUGGAUGGCAGCUGCAACAAAGGCUUCAGGCACUUUUAGGUCAGUGAUGUUGGAUCCUGUCCCCAGAAGGUUCAGAAGCUCCCAAAGCAGAACCCACAGAUGGCUAAACAAACUGCUGCAUCUGUUGUCUCUAUCUGUUAGCUGUACUUGACAGCAACAGGUAUGCAUAGUGCUUGUAUAGCAUUCCAAAGGAAGAAGUGUUGGAUUUUUUAAAAAAUAUGCAGAGCAGAUCACCUGUUCAGACAAUCUAAGUUUUUAAGGCGCGUCUGUUUCAUUAACUGUUUUCUGUUGGCAGCUCAUGUAAAAUUGUAUUCCUCUGUCUUGGAGAGGGCAAGAGAGACUUCAGAACUCUCCCCUUUCAGACCAACCUUUUGCUUCCACAGAAAAUUUUGGGGUGGUAACAAUGCCAAUACCAAACUAGCUCUUCUUUGUGAAUACUUGAAAGACAGAGAUGCUCAAGCUGUCACACCGGUCCUUUAUAAAACAAUGCAUUCUGUCAGG
Molecule: long non-coding RNA, 1485 nt
Filed under: Gallus gallus (chicken)
Lineage: Eukaryota; Metazoa; Chordata; Aves; Galliformes; Phasianidae
Description: lncRNA (ENSGALG00010016405.1)
Source: RNAcentral